UGCUAAAAAUUUCAUCUAUUUGUACUGUUAAAAACUGGCGUGGCUAAUGGAAUAACUAGAUAGUGAGAUGUGCCGUGCUGUGUGUUCCUCAUGUUGAUAUACAAAGACCAAUUUUUAACAAUAGAAAUAGAUGGAAUUUUUAACA
Molecule: non-coding RNA, 145 nt
Organism: Gossypium arboreum
Lineage: Eukaryota; Viridiplantae; Streptophyta; Magnoliopsida; Malvales; Malvaceae
Source: Rfam